GCUCCGGUAGCUCAGUCGGUAGAGCACGAGAUUUUUAAUCUUGUGGUCAGGAGUUCAAGCCUCCUCCGGUGCACCA
This 76-nucleotide transfer RNA is filed under the name Segatella copri. RNAcentral describes it as "tRNA-Lys". It matches the Rfam family "tRNA". Rfam says of the family: Transfer RNA (tRNA) molecules are approximately 80 nucleotides in length. Their secondary structure includes four short double-helical elements and three loops (D, anti-codon, and T loops). Further hydrogen bonds mediate the characteristic L-shaped molecular structure. tRNAs have two regions of fundamental functional importance: the anti-codon, which is responsible for specific mRNA codon recognition, and the 3' end, to which the tRNAs corresponding amino acid is attached (by aminoacyl-tRNA synthetases). tRNAs cope with the degeneracy of the genetic code in two manners: having more than one tRNA (with a specific anti-codon) for a particular amino acid; and 'wobble' base-pairing, i.e. permitting non-standard base-pairing at the 3rd anti-codon position. Lineage: Bacteria; Pseudomonadati; Bacteroidota; Bacteroidia; Bacteroidales; Prevotellaceae. The record is from RNAcentral.